RNAcentral lists this long non-coding RNA (625 nucleotides) under Neogale vison (American mink). Its description in RNAcentral is "Neovison vison (American mink) lncRNA (ENSNVIG00000000622.1)". Lineage: Eukaryota; Metazoa; Chordata; Mammalia; Carnivora; Mustelidae. The record is from RNAcentral.
GUGCUUUCAGGACUCCAGCCCUGCCCAGCCCUCAAGCCUCCUUUCUCCCUCCCCCACCUGAUCCCUAUGACCUGAUCCCUCCCAUAGCUCACCUUCCCCCUUCUGGGCCCGGGAGCUCCCGCAUCUUUACAAAUCAGCAGCACCUGACUUGACAGUGACUCCGGUUCCUCUGCGUUUCCUGCCAGACCCCCAGCUCCAGGAGGCAGGGGCAGGCUUUGCUUCGCUCCCAGAGUCCCCAGCUCCUAGCACAGCCUCCAGCUAAGAGCAUGAGAUUGAAGAAAUGCAUUGAGGAGCACAUGGAUGCUUGUAAUGAGAAAAUACUGGGGAGUUAUUACAGUGGUCAAGGUGAAAAUCAAGGGCUCUGACCCACGCAGCAGAGACAAAGGCUACCUCCGAAAUGGACAGCAGGCACUCAGUGACAGCUAGCAGUGAAGUCUUUUCAAAAUGUAAAUCCCCACGAAGUUUGCCAGAAUCUAGUCGACACCCCCGUGUGCUUUCAUCCACUGCCGAUUCUUUGCCAUUUCGAACCUCAUGGUAAGUAACCAUUAAUACUGUUUUCCUUUCUGCUGCCCUUCAUGAUGUUAAAGGAAAAAUGCCAUUUCAGAUGUUUCUAGACAAAUCACAC